UACGUAUGGUGCAAGCGUUAUCCGGAUUUACUGGGUGUAAAGGGAGCGCAGGCGGCACGGCAAGCCUGAUGUGAAAGCCCGCGGCCCAACCGCGGGACUGCAUUGGGAACUACCGGGCUGGAGUGCCGGAGAGGUAGGCGGAAUUCCUAGUGUAGCGGUGAAAUGCGUAGAUAUAUGGAGGAACACCGGUGGCGAAAGCGGCCCUCUGGCCUGUAACUGACACUGAGGCUCGAAAGCGUGGGGAGCAAACAGG
This 253-nucleotide ribosomal RNA is filed under the name uncultured bacterium. RNAcentral's name for it is "partial 16S ribosomal RNA". It matches the Rfam family "Bacterial small subunit ribosomal RNA", at positions 524 to 776 of the family's 1533-position model. The record is from RNAcentral.